AAAAAUUAAAAAAAAAAAAAUUGGUUUUAAAAACGUGAAUAAUGAUUAUUAUGUAAUAUUAUGAUAUAUCUUCUCGAACGUUCUACUACAGCCUUAAGCUACAGUGACCCAUUCAAGGGGGACCAAUUGUCCUGAUAUGUCCUCUUUUAACCUCUUCUCAUUAUGGACGUCAAUUAUUCCAAUAUACUUCAGAGGUACAGCAACUGAAGGUUUAUCUCGAUGAAAGUUUCAUUAUUUUUAAACACUACGGAGGUGUACUCGCGGUUAAACUACUAGUAAACGAUACUAUAAUUUAUUAAUUAAAUAUAAGUAGGACCU
Non-coding RNA from Cinara cedri, 318 nucleotides. Lineage: Eukaryota; Metazoa; Arthropoda; Insecta; Hemiptera; Aphididae. The record is from the annotation of a GenBank genome assembly.